Molecule: ribosomal RNA, 894 nt
Filed under: Grosmannia laricis
Lineage: Eukaryota; Fungi; Ascomycota; Sordariomycetes; Ophiostomatales; Ophiostomataceae
Description: LSU rRNA
Rfam family: Eukaryotic large subunit ribosomal RNA
Source: RNAcentral
GCAUAUCAAUAAGCGGAGGAAAAGAAACCAACAGGGAUUGCCCCAGUAACGGCGAAGUGAAGCGGCAACAGCUCAGAUUUGGAAUCUGGCCCCUAGGGCCCGAGUUGUAAUCUGGAGAGGAUGUUUCUGGCGCGGCGCCUUCCGAGUUCCCUGGAACGGGACGCCGGAGAGGGUGAGAGCCCCGUACGGUUGGACGCCUAGCCUUUGUGAAGCUCCUUCGACGAGUCGAGUAGUUUGGGAAUGCUGCUCAAAAUGGGAGGUAAAUUUCUUCUAAAGCUAAAUACCGGCCAGAGACCGAUAGCGCACAAGUAGAGUGAUCGAAAGAUGAAAAGCACUUUGAAAAGAGGGUCAAACAGUACGUGAAAUUGUUGAAAGGGAAGCGCCCGUGGCCAGACUUGUACCCCGCGGACCAUCCAGCGCCCUCAGCGCCGGUGCACUCCGUGGGGCGCAGGCCAGCAUCGGUUUUCCCAGGGGGAUAAAGGCGGCGGGAACGUGGCUCCCUCGGGAGUGUUAUAGCCCGCCGCGCCAUGCCCCUGGGGGGACCGAGGACCGCGCUUCGGCAAGGAUGCUGGCGUAAUGGCCACCGGCGACCCGUCUUGAAACACGGACCAAGGAGUCAAGCAUUGGGGCGAGUGUCUGGGUGCCAAACCCGCACGCGAAAUGAAAGUGAACGCAGGUGAGAGCUUCGGCGCAUCAUCGACCGAUCCUGAUGUUCUCGGAUGGAUUUGAGUAAGAGCCUUACCGCUUGGACCCGAAAGAUGGUGAACUAUGCCUGUAUAGGGUGAAGCCAGAGGAAACUCUGGUGGAGGCUCGCAGCGGUUCUGACGUGCAAAUCGAUCGUCAAAUAUGGGCAUGGGGGCGAAAGACUAAUCGAACCAUCUAGUAGCUGGUAUC